Molecule: long non-coding RNA, 98 nt
Organism: Haliotis rubra (blacklip abalone)
Lineage: Eukaryota; Metazoa; Mollusca; Gastropoda; Lepetellida; Haliotidae
Exons: 3
Source: RefSeq, a predicted model, not a curated record
AUUGUACCCAUUCACACAUUGUCCCCAUGUGGGAAAUCGAAGCUGGGUCUUUGGUGUGUCAAGCAAAUGCUUUCACCAUUAGGCUACCCCACCACCCC